ACGGAAGGCAGCAGUGGGGAAUAUUGCACAAUGGGGGAAACCCUGAUGCAGCGACGCCGCGUGAGUGAAGAAGUAUUUCGGUAUGUAAAGCUCUAUCAGCAGGAAAGAAAAUGACGGUACCUGACUAAGAAGCCCCGGCUAACUACGUGCCAGCAGCCGCGGUAAUACGCAGGGGGCAAGCGUUAUCCGGAUUUACUGGGUGUAAAGGGAGCGUAGACGGCUUUGCAAGUCUGAAGUGAAAGCCCGGGGCUCAACCCCGGAACUGCUUUGGAAACUGUAGAGCUAGAGUGCAGGAGAGGUAAGUGGAAUUCCUAGUGUAGCGGUGAAAUGCGUAGAUAUUAGGAGGAACACCAGUGGCGAAGGCGGCUUACUGGACUGUAACUGACGUUGAGGCUCGAAGGCGUGGGGAGCAAACAGGAUUAGAUACCCUGGUA
Molecule: ribosomal RNA, 434 nt
Filed under: uncultured Lachnospiraceae bacterium
Lineage: Bacteria; Bacillati; Bacillota; Clostridia; Lachnospirales; Lachnospiraceae
Description: partial 16S ribosomal RNA
Rfam family: Bacterial small subunit ribosomal RNA
Source: RNAcentral